This 438-nucleotide ribosomal RNA is filed under the name uncultured bacterium. RNAcentral describes it as "bacterial SSU rRNA". It matches the Rfam family "Bacterial small subunit ribosomal RNA", at positions 62 to 510 of the family's 1533-position model. The record is from RNAcentral.
UCGAACGAGAACGGAUUAUAGCUUGCUAUAAUUGUCAGCUAAGUGGCGCACGGGUGAGUAAUGUAUAGAUAACCUGCCCUUAAGAAAGGAAUAACAGUUGGAAACGACUGCUAAUGCCCUAUAUGCCUUUAAUACAUAAGUAUGCAAGGGAAACGCUUUAGUGCUUAAGGAUGGGUCUGUAUGGUAUCAGCUUGUUGGUGAGGUAAUGGCUCACCAAGGCUAUGACGCCUAACUGGUUUGAGAGGAUGAUCAGUCACACUGGAACUGAGACACGGUCCAGACUCCUACGGGAGGCAGCAGUGGGGAAUAUUGCACAAUGGACGAAAGUCUGAUGCAGCAACGCCGCGUGGAGGAUGACACAUUUCGGUGCGUAAACUCCUUUUAUAUAGGAAGAUAAUGACGGUACUAUAUGAAUAAGCACCGGCUAACUCCGUGCCA